UACGUAGGGGGCUAGCGUUGUCCGGAUUUAUUGGGCGUAAAGAGCGUGUAGGCGGCCAGGUAGGUCUGGUGUGAAAACUCGAGGCUUAACCUCGAGAUGUCAUCGGAAACCAUUUGGCUAGAGUCCGGAAGAGGAGAGUGGAAUUCCUAGUGUAGCGGUGAAAUGCGCAGAUAUCGGGAAGAACACCCGUGGCUAAGGCGGCUCUCUAGUACGGUACUGACGCUGAGACGCGAAAGCGUGGGGAGCGAACAGG
This 253-nucleotide ribosomal RNA is filed under the name uncultured bacterium. RNAcentral describes it as "partial 16S ribosomal RNA". It matches the Rfam family "Bacterial small subunit ribosomal RNA", at positions 524 to 776 of the family's 1533-position model. The record is from RNAcentral.